AGUGAACGCUGGCGGUAGGCCUAACACAUGCAAGUCGAACGGCAGCAUAGUAAGAGCUUGCUCUUACGGGUGGCGAGUGGCGGACGGGUGAGGAAUACAUCGGAAUCUACUUUUUCGUGGGGGAUAACGUAGGGAAACUUACGCUAAUACCGCAUACGGCCUACGGGUGAAAGCAGGGGAUCUUCGGACCUUGCGCGAUUGAAUGAGCCGAUGUCGGAUUAGCUAGUUGGCGGGGUAAAGGCCCACCAAGGCGACGAUCCGUAGCUGGUCUGAGAGGAUGAUCAGCCACACUGGAACUGGAACACGGUCCAGACUCCUGCGGGGGGCAGCAGUGGGGAAUAUUGGACAAUGGUCGCAAGCCUGAUCCAGCCAUACCGCGUGGGUGAAGAAGGCCUUCGGGUUGUGAAGCCCUUUUGUUGGGAAAGAAAAGCAGCAGGUUAAUACCCCGCUGUUCUGACGGUACCCAAAGAAUAAGCACCGGCUAACUUCGUG
This 492-nucleotide ribosomal RNA is filed under the name uncultured bacterium. Its description in RNAcentral is "partial 16S ribosomal RNA". It matches the Rfam family "Bacterial small subunit ribosomal RNA", at positions 29 to 507 of the family's 1533-position model. The record is from RNAcentral.